AAAGGCGCUUUCGGGUGUCGCUGAUGGAUGGACCCGCGGUGCAUUAGCUAGUUGGUGAGGUAACGGCUCACCAAGGCCACGAUGCAUAGCCGACCUGAGAGGGUGAUCGGCCACAUUGGGACUGAGACACGGCCCAAACUCCUACGGGAGGCAGCAGUAGGGAAUCUUCGGCAAUGGACGAAAGUCUGACCGAGCAACGCCGCGUGAGUGAAGAAGGUUUUCGGAUCGUAAAACUCUGUUGUUAGAGAAGAACAAGGAUGAGAGUAACUGUUCAUCCCUUGACGGUAUCUAACCAGAAAGCCACGGCUAACUACGUGCCAGCA
This 323-nucleotide ribosomal RNA is filed under the name Enterococcus faecium. Its description in RNAcentral is "bacterial SSU rRNA". It matches the Rfam family "Bacterial small subunit ribosomal RNA", at positions 202 to 513 of the family's 1533-position model. The record is from RNAcentral. Lineage: Bacteria; Bacillati; Bacillota; Bacilli; Lactobacillales; Enterococcaceae.